AUGGGAUGGAGCUGUAUCAUGCUCUUCUUGGCAGCAACAGCUACAGGUGUCCACUUCCAGGUCCAACUGCAGCAGCCUGGGGCUGAGCUUGUGAAGCCUGGGGCUUCAGUGAAGCUGUCCAGCAAGGCUUCUGGCUACACCUUCACCAGCUACUGGAUGCACUGGGUGAAGCAGAGGCCUGGACGAGGCCUUGAGUGGAUUGGAAGGAUUGAUCCUAAUAGUGGUGGUACUAAGUACAAUGAGAAGUUCAAGAGCAAGGCCACACUGACUGUAGACAAACCCUCCAGCACAGCCUACAUGCAGCUCAGCAGCCUGACAUCUGAGGACUCUGCGGUCUAUUACUGUGCAAGA
Non-coding RNA from Mus musculus (house mouse), 351 nucleotides. NCBI's taxonomy places the organism in Eukaryota, Metazoa, Chordata, Mammalia, Rodentia, Muridae. The record is from the annotation of a RefSeq genome assembly.